UCCACAUGGGUUCUACUUUUAACAAUGGU
RNAcentral lists this non-coding RNA (29 nucleotides) under Rattus norvegicus (Norway rat). The record is from RNAcentral. Lineage: Eukaryota; Metazoa; Chordata; Mammalia; Rodentia; Muridae.